GAAGCUUCAUCUUUGGAGCCAUUUGCAUAGGUAGGACUAGCACGGAACUUAGGAGAGCAAAUGUGAGGGAGAAAUGAAGGGUUUUUAGUGGAAAGAUAAGGAUUUUGGACAAGUGAAUCUCGAUUUGGAGAAAAUGGAUAGAAUCUAGGGUAAGCUCGAAUCAUUCCAAAUGAAGGAGGAGAAGGGGAGGAACUUGGUUCCAAGAGGGCGAUUUAGAGGGUGAGAGAUGGUG
RNAcentral lists this long non-coding RNA (232 nucleotides) under Elaeis guineensis (African oil palm). RNAcentral's name for it is "long non-coding RNA (EGUI_LNC070794)". Lineage: Eukaryota; Viridiplantae; Streptophyta; Magnoliopsida; Arecales; Arecaceae. The record is from RNAcentral.